This 219-nucleotide unclassified non-coding RNA is filed under the name soil metagenome. RNAcentral describes it as "partial contains 5.8S ribosomal RNA, internal transcribed spacer 2, and large subunit ribosomal RNA". The record is from RNAcentral.
AACCAUAGAAACCUGCGGAGUACCUGCGGAGGGAUCAUUACAGAGUUGCAAAACUCCCUAAACCAUUGUGAACCUACCUUCUACCGUUGCUUCGGCGGGCGGGCCUAGCGCCCCCCCGGCCCCCCGCGGGCGCCCGCCGGAGGAUAACCAAACUCUUGACAUCAGUGGCCUCUCUGAGUAUUCUUUACUGAAUAAGUCAAAACUUUUAACAAUGGAUCU